AUCACAAAAAUAUCAUAUACCCUAACAUUUAUAAAAAUAAAGGAUAGAAAUUCAUAAAUAAAUAAUAAGUAGGGUCUCAAGAAGAUAGAACCCGUUAUCACCACUAUUUAGCACCGUUUGACUCCACUUUGUUCGAGUCCACCAAAAUAUAAAAAUUAAAAUCCCUAUUUACAAUUUCCCCUAGUAGGACGUACGUUUCUAAAAAUGACACAAUGCUUAGAUCAUCAACUGAAAACCACUUCAAUGUCGUCCUUCAAUCAAAAUGAUUAAUUCUAUGGACAUGAAACAAAUUCGCGUACAGCCACCGUUUGAUUCCUUUUCUCCUGCAAUCUUAGUACAAACUCUUUCGAAUUCUUCGACCUAUAUAUAUAUAUAUAUAUGAAAUAUCAUUUUUAGAAUUGUUGCAAAAUAUAUAAAAAUAUACGAAGAAGAAG
RNAcentral lists this long non-coding RNA (434 nucleotides) under Capsicum annuum. Its description in RNAcentral is "long non-coding RNA (CANN_LNC007485)". The record is from RNAcentral. Lineage: Eukaryota; Viridiplantae; Streptophyta; Magnoliopsida; Solanales; Solanaceae.